UCUGGUUGAUCCUGCCAGUAGUCAUAUGCUUGUCUCAAAGACUAAGCCAUGCAUGUCUAAGUAUAAAUGUUAUACAGUGAAACUGCGAAUGGCUCAUUAAAACAGUUAUAGUUUAUUUGAUAAUCGAAUUUACAUGGAUAACCGUGGUAAUUCUAGAGCUAAUACAUGCUGGUUAGCCUGACUUUUGCGGAAGGGCUGUAUUUAUUAGAUAACAAACCAAUAUUCCUUGUGUCUAUUGUGAUGACUCAUAAUAACUGAUCGAAUCGCAUGGGCUUUGCCCGCGAUACAUCAUUCAAGUUUCUGCCCCAUCAGCUUUCGAUGGUAGUGUAUUGGACUACCAUGGCGUUCACGGGUAACGGAGGAUUAGGGUUCGAUUCCGGAGAGGGAGCCUGAGAAACGGCUACCACAUCUAAGGAAGGCAGCAGGCGCGUAAAUUAUCCAAUCCUGACUCAGGGAGGUAGUGACAAGAAAUAACGGACCGAAGCCUAUGUUUCGGGAUUGCAAUGAGUAGAAUUUAAACCCCUUUACGAGGAUCAAUUGGAGGGCAGUCUGGUAAUCA
Molecule: ribosomal RNA, 559 nt
Filed under: uncultured soil eukaryote
Lineage: Eukaryota
Description: SSU rRNA
Rfam family: Eukaryotic small subunit ribosomal RNA
Source: RNAcentral